AAUUGAUUUUUAAAUGAAAUCUGGAAUGAAAGGAUUAAUGAAAUAUAUACUGUCUCAUAUAUAUAUUUAUGAAUUUAAAAUUUUAAUAAAAAUGUUAAAAUUUAUUUAUGGGACGAUAAGACCCUAUAGAAUUUUAUAUUAAUUUAAUUAUUUAAUUAAUAAAUAAUUUAAAUUAAUAUUUAAUUGGGAGGAUUAUUAAAUUUAAAAAACUUUAAUUUAUAAAAACUUUAAUUAAAGAAAAUAUUAUGAUCUUGAAUUUUAAAUUAUUAGAAUAAAUUACCUUAGGGAUAACAGCGUAAUAUUUUUUUAUAGAUCUUAUAGAAAAAAAUGAUUGCGAG
This 338-nucleotide ribosomal RNA is filed under the name Austroplebeia symei. RNAcentral's name for it is "partial 16S large subunit ribosomal RNA". Lineage: Eukaryota; Metazoa; Arthropoda; Insecta; Hymenoptera; Apidae. The record is from RNAcentral.